UACGGGGGGGGCAAGCGUUGUUCGGAAUUACUGGGCGUAAAGGGCUCGUAGGCGGCCAACUAAGUCAGACGUGAAAUCCCCCGGCUUAACCGGGGAACUGCGUCUGAUACUGGAUGGCUUGAGUUUGGGAGAGGGAUGCGGAAUUCCAGGUGUAGCGGUGAAAUGCGUAGAUAUCUGGAGGAACACCGGUGGCGAAGGCGGCAUCCUGGACCAACACUGACGCUGAGGAGCGAAAGCCAGGGGAGCAAACGGG
Molecule: ribosomal RNA, 253 nt
Filed under: uncultured bacterium
Lineage: Bacteria
Description: partial 16S ribosomal RNA
Rfam family: Bacterial small subunit ribosomal RNA
Source: RNAcentral